RNAcentral lists this ribosomal RNA (669 nucleotides) under uncultured Bacteroidales bacterium. Its description in RNAcentral is "bacterial SSU rRNA". It matches the Rfam family "Bacterial small subunit ribosomal RNA", at positions 69 to 728 of the family's 1533-position model. The record is from RNAcentral. Lineage: Bacteria; Pseudomonadati; Bacteroidota; Bacteroidia; Bacteroidales.
GCAUGGUCUUAGCUUGCUAAGGCUGAUGGCGACCGGCGCACGGGUGAGUAACACGUAUCCAACCUGCCGUCUACUCUUGGCCAGCCUUCUGAAAGGAAGAUUAAUCCAGGAUGGCAUCAUGAGUUCACAUGUCCGCAUGAUUAAAGGUAUUUUCCGGUAGACGAUGGGGAUGCGUUCCAUUAGAUAGUAGGCGGGGUAACGGCCCACCUAGUCAACGAUGGAUAGGGGUUCUGAGAGGAAGGUCCCCCACAUUGGAACUGAGACACGGUCCAAACUCCUACGGGAGGCAGCAGUGAGGAAUAUUGGUCAAUGGGCGAUGGCCUGAACCAGCCAAGUAGCGUGAAGGAUGACUGCCCUAUGGGUUGUAAACUUCUUUUAUAAAGGAAUAAAGUCGGGUAUGCAUACCCGUUUGCAUGUACUUUAUGAAUAAGGAUCGGCUAACUCCGUGCCAGCAGCCGCGGUAAUACGGAGGAUCCGAGCGUUAUCCGGAUUUAUUGGGUUUAAAGGGAGCGUAGAUGGAUGUUUAAGUCAGUUGUGAAAGUUUGCGGCUCAACCGUAAAAUUGCAGUUGAUACUGGAUGUCUUGAGUGCAGUUGAGGCAGGCGGAAUUCGUGGUGUAGCGGUGAAAUGCUUAGAUAUCACGAAGAACUCCGAUUGCGAAGGCAGCCUG